AUAAAGGCCCUCCCCUUUCUUCGUCACAUCCUCUUUCAAGUAGGUGUCCUUGUUUUCGAGACACAUCUCCACAAGAUGAGAGCAAAGUGGAGGAAGAAGCGUAUGCGCAGGCUGAAGCGUAAAAGGCGAAAGAUGAGGCAGAGGUCAAAGUAGACUGGCCCAUCCCCUACAGCUGUGAUUCCAAGCCCUCCCUGUUUGACGCCUACAGUCCAUGAUUUGCAAAGAGCUGACCAUGGUUGUCUGAAGCCGAUCUCAUUGUGAUGGAGUGAAGGACAGAUCCCGCCUAACCAGCCCUCUACUCUGCCAAUGGCGGCUGGCCGUUGACUACUACUAGAGAAUGGCGAGGAAGACUUGAGAAUUAAUCUCCAGUCGUUGAACUCUGGCCUUUUACCACCUGCCUAGCACAGCUGAUUUGUUGUAAAGACCAUAAUAAAUAUUUGGUUUAUUAACUACA
This is a long non-coding RNA of Coregonus clupeaformis (lake whitefish), 454 nucleotides long. RefSeq lists it as uncharacterized. The transcript is spliced from 4 exons. The record is from RefSeq and is a predicted model, not a curated record. NCBI's taxonomy places the organism in Eukaryota, Metazoa, Chordata, Actinopteri, Salmoniformes, Salmonidae.